Acanthosepion pharaonis is the source of this 111-nucleotide non-coding RNA. The record is from the annotation of a GenBank genome assembly. Lineage: Eukaryota; Metazoa; Mollusca; Cephalopoda; Sepiida; Sepiidae.
UAGCCAUAUCACGUUGAAACACUUGUUUUCAUCCAAUCACUGAAGUUAAGCAACAAAGAGCCUGGUCACUGCCUAGAUGGGUGACUGCUUGGGAAUGCCAAGUGCUGUAAG